CUUGACACAUUUUCUUCAUUAAAAAGAUUGAAAGAAAUGGUUCAAAUGGGGAGUCUUGUAACUCACGCAAUUAGAAGGGGUAACCUGAAAACUCAUGGUGAUAGUCAAUGAAGAAGCGGGAGGAUAAAUUUUCAUUGAAACAACAAGAACUGGCUGUGGAAACUGGAAAGACAUGCCACUCAGGAGAGGAAAAAAGGUGCUGGAGCCAACAACGCAGAACCUCCGUUACUUGAUGGUGUCAAGUCCGGAAUCAGAGUUCAUAUUCGAGUCUCUGUACGAAACGCACGUUCAGGUCUCAGUUUUGUGUGGGAAGAAACUGCAUUUGAAUUUGCGCAUUCGCAGCGGCGGUCACAAUUACGAGGGAGUGUCGUACGUAUCGAAGAUGAAAAUGCCGUUUUUACUUUGUCAUUGUGGAUUUGUGCACUCUCCGACAAAUUGAUGUUGAGGUGGAUUGUAACAACACGUGAGUUCACAUUGGGCUACUGUGUGCGAGGGAAAAAAAGCGGGAAGAAAGUUGAUACCAUAAAUAACAAAUAACCUUCAUAUAAAAACUGUUCGGUUUUUAUAGGGCCAAGAUAAAGAGGUUGGAACUUAACAAAUGUUGCACCAUUUUUAGAUUUGAUUGUUACUUUUCGUUCAUAUUUUGGUUUUGCCCUUUUCUAUCUUCACUUUGUAUUCCUUGAAAAUGAUGAAGGAAACAAGAGAUGAAUAAAGUG
Molecule: RNA transcript, 716 nt
Organism: Tarenaya hassleriana
Lineage: Eukaryota; Viridiplantae; Streptophyta; Magnoliopsida; Brassicales; Cleomaceae
Exons: 4
Source: RefSeq, a predicted model, not a curated record